Molecule: transfer RNA, 83 nt
Filed under: Schistocephalus solidus
Lineage: Eukaryota; Metazoa; Platyhelminthes; Cestoda; Diphyllobothriidea; Diphyllobothriidae
Rfam family: tRNA
About the family: Transfer RNA (tRNA) molecules are approximately 80 nucleotides in length. Their secondary structure includes four short double-helical elements and three loops (D, anti-codon, and T loops). Further hydrogen bonds mediate the characteristic L-shaped molecular structure. tRNAs have two regions of fundamental functional importance: the anti-codon, which is responsible for specific mRNA codon recognition, and the 3' end, to which the tRNAs corresponding amino acid is attached (by aminoacyl-tRNA synthetases). tRNAs cope with the degeneracy of the genetic code in two manners: having more than one tRNA (with a specific anti-codon) for a particular amino acid; and 'wobble' base-pairing, i.e. permitting non-standard base-pairing at the 3rd anti-codon position.
Source: Rfam by way of RNAcentral
GGCCUCGUAGCUCAUUUGGCUAGAGCAUUGACUGUACUAAAGCCUUCCUCUUGCUGGCGUGGGUUUGAAUCCCAUCAAGGCCA